Molecule: ribosomal RNA, 744 nt
Filed under: uncultured bacterium
Lineage: Bacteria
Description: bacterial SSU rRNA
Rfam family: Bacterial small subunit ribosomal RNA
Source: RNAcentral
GUUCAGUGGCGCAAGGGUGCGUAACACGUGGGCAAUCUGCCGGGAAGUGGGGGAUAGCUCGCCGAAAGGCGAGUUAAUACCCCAUGCGGCCAGGGAGGACAUCCUCCUGAAGCCAAAGUCGGGGCAACCUGACGCUUCCUGAUGGGCCCGCGGCCUAUCAGCUUGUUGGUGAGGUAACGGCUCACCAAGGCUAUGAUGGGUAGCUGGUCUGAGAGGACGACCAGCCACACUGGAACUGAGACACGGUCCAGACACCUACGGGUGGCAGCAGUCGAGAAUUUUUCUCAAUGGGCGAAAGCCUGAAGGAGCGACGCCGCGUGGAGGAUGAAGGUCUUCGGAUUGUAAACUCCUGUCAUUAGGGAACAAGUGGCGCGAUAGUAACUGCUCGCGCCUUGAUAGUACCUGAAGAGGAAGAGACGGCUAACUCUGUGCCAGCAGCCGCGGUAAUACAGAGGUCUCAAGCGUUGUUCGGAUUCAUUGGGCGUAAAGGGUGCGUAGGUGGUGUCGUAAGUCGGAUGUGAAAUCUCGGGGCUUAACCCCGAAACUGCAUUCGAUACUGCGGUGCUCGAGGACUGGAGAGGAGAUCGGAAUUCACGGUGUAGCAGUGAAAUGCGUAGAUAUCGUGAGGAAGGCCAGUGGCGAAGGCGGAUCUCUGGACAGUUCCUGACACUGAGGCACGAAGGCCAGGGGAGCAAACGGGAUUAGAUACCCCGGUAGUCCUGGCAGUAAACGGUGCACGUUUGG